GUCCACACUGUAAACGAUGAAUGCUAGGUGUAGGUGGUAUCGACCCCAUCUGUGCCGGAGUAAACACAAUAAGCAUUCCGCCUGGGGAGUACGGCCGCAAGGUUGAAACUCAAAGGAAUUGACGGGGGCCCGCACAAGCAGCGGAGCAUGUGGUUUAAUUCGAAGCAACGCGAAGAACCUUACCAGGUCUUGACAUCCAGUAAAGCCUGCAGAGAUGCAGAGUCCCUUCGGGGGUACUGAGACAGGUGGUGCAUGGUUGUCGU
This 263-nucleotide ribosomal RNA is filed under the name uncultured bacterium. RNAcentral describes it as "partial 16S ribosomal RNA". It matches the Rfam family "Bacterial small subunit ribosomal RNA", at positions 793 to 1055 of the family's 1533-position model. The record is from RNAcentral.